This 447-nucleotide ribosomal RNA is filed under the name uncultured bacterium. RNAcentral describes it as "bacterial SSU rRNA". It matches the Rfam family "Bacterial small subunit ribosomal RNA", at positions 29 to 521 of the family's 1533-position model. The record is from RNAcentral.
AACGAACGCUGGCGGCAUGCCUAACACAUGCAAGUCGAACGAAGUCUUCGGACUUAGUGGCGCACGGGUGCGUAACGCGUGGGAAUCUGCCCUUGGGUGCGGAAUAACUUCUCGAAAGGGAUGCUAAUACCGCAUAAUGUCGUAAGACCAAAGAUUUAUCGCCCAAGGAUGAGCCCGCGUAAGAUUAGCUAGUUGGUGGGGUAAAAGCCUACCAAGGCGACGAUCUUUAGCUGGUCUGAGAGGAUGAUCAGCCACACUGGGACUGAGACACGGCCCAGACUCCUACGGGAGGCAGCAGUGGGGAAUAUUGGACAAUGGGCGAAAGCCUGAUCCAGCAAUGCCGCGUGAGUGAUGAAGGCCCUAGGGUUGUAAAGCUCUUUUACCAGGGAUGAUAAUGACAGUACCUGGAGAAUAAGCCCCGGCUAACUCCGUGCCAGCAGCCGCGGU